RNAcentral lists this ribosomal RNA (250 nucleotides) under uncultured bacterium. RNAcentral describes it as "partial 16S ribosomal RNA". It matches the Rfam family "Bacterial small subunit ribosomal RNA", at positions 109 to 354 of the family's 1533-position model. The record is from RNAcentral.
AGUAACACGUGGAUAACCUGCCUCAAGGCUGGGGAUAACAUUUGGAAACAGAUGCUAAUACCGAAUAAAACUUAGUAUCGUAUGAUAUCAAGUUAAAAGGCGCUACGGCGUCACCUAGAGAUGGAUCCGCGGUGCAUUAGUUAGUUGGUGGGGUAAAGGCUUACCAAGACGAUGAUGCAUAGCCGAGUUGAGAGACUGAUCGGCCACAUUGGGACUGAGACACGGCCCAAACUCCUACGGAAGGCAGCAG